RNAcentral lists this long non-coding RNA (1529 nucleotides) under Manihot esculenta (cassava). Its description in RNAcentral is "long non-coding RNA (MESC_LNC006935)". Lineage: Eukaryota; Viridiplantae; Streptophyta; Magnoliopsida; Malpighiales; Euphorbiaceae. The record is from RNAcentral.
UAGCUAGUAUACUUUCAUCUAAACAACACUUUGACUAUACUUCACCAUGCCAUGCUAAGAUUACAAGUAAAGCAAAGAUAAUAAACUAAAAAAUAAAGGACAUAAUUUUCUAAUACUUGCAUCAGCAAAAAUGUCACUGCCAUCUUCAGAAUCUCACCAUGGCUAGCUGCCUAAAAUGAUCUUGAAAUCGUGAUUUUUCUUGAAGCUCUACCUCAUCACCACCAUGUCGAUACCUCAUCUCCACCAUCCUUUUUACUCUUCUGUUAUGAAAUUUAAAAAGUAGGAUUUACGGUUAUCGUGUAAGAUUUAUACCUCAUCACCACCAUGUCAACACCUCAUCUCCACCAUCCUUUCUACUCUUCACUCUUCUGAGAUCUAUAAUCUAUGGUUGUGUAAGUUUGGCCACCUCUAACCCUUUUGCUAUUCGUUUCUAUCAUUCAAAUCCAUACUUAUUAAUGGGUCAGAAUCAGUUAUUUAAUCUGUCCGGUAUGCUUUUCGUCACUGGACUGAACAUAUCGCGUGUAGCUGAUUUAUUUUAAAAAAGACAUUGUAAAACUUGAAUAUAUAUUUCUAUCUAAAGUUUAAAAAUAUGGUCUCAGAUAUAGAAAGUUCGACGGUCAUCAUUCACCCACACAAAAAGAUCUACAUUUUAAAUCUCAAUGUACACAUCUUCAGCUGCAACAUAAGCUAAACAUUUUAAUCCUAAGGUUAAUUUUGUAAUUUCUUAAUAGUAUGAUUCAUUUGACUAAAAGAUCUACUAUUAACUAGAAGGAUUUAAUGGUUGUAUUGGAACUAAAAAUUAUAAAAAUUAACUAAUUAAUUUUAGUAAAAUUUAGGGAUUCUACAAUAAUUUACCAAAAAAAAUAUUAUUUCUAUGUAUCUUUGAUGUAAAAAUAUUAAGUUAACAUACCUAUUGAGAUCCGUAUUUGUAGGAAUAUUUUCAAAUUUUCUGAUAACUGUGUCAACUGUCAUUUAAGUGCAUAUUCCAGCACAAGUUUGACGAAAGAAAUACUGGAAAGUUCAUUAGAUAGACAUUUAAAGAUAACAUAUCUUCAUAUAAAAGUUUCACAAACACACCAGAAUUUAUUCGCAUGCAUACAUAUGCUUUCAUAGCAACUUCACAUAUAUACUUAAUUUCUCAGGCCUUUCGGCAUACAUCUCCAUCGCAGAUCCAUCCCUCCUUUUCCUUCCCAGCCUUGCUAUUUUCCUCUUUAUUUAAAGCACACUUAGGGUGAAGAUCAAAGUCGCAUGCCCUACAAUAGAAAGACAACCCAUACCCCAUCUUCCUACAUCCAUUGCACACAAAUCCACUGCGGUUUGUGCGAACAAGCUCGUGCUCAGGAUGAAGUUCAUGCUUCACUUUCUCAGGCCACCGUUUUGCUGUUUCCUCCAACUUUUCCUCCAACUUUUCUUCCAGUUGCUUCAGAUGAUCUUCAGUGAAUGGAUAUGCAUCUGCCCCAUAAGCUGCUAUGUGUUCUCUAGCUUCCCUGGUGAUUGUCUGCCCUGUAGGACUAAUAGCUAUGGCUGCA